RNAcentral lists this ribosomal RNA (1045 nucleotides) under Acinetobacter baumannii. RNAcentral's name for it is "partial 23S ribosomal RNA". It matches the Rfam family "Bacterial large subunit ribosomal RNA", at positions 1886 to 2925 of the family's 2925-position model. Lineage: Bacteria; Pseudomonadati; Pseudomonadota; Gammaproteobacteria; Moraxellales; Moraxellaceae. The record is from RNAcentral.
GGGGUUAGCGUAAGCGAAGCUCUUGAUCGAAGCCCCAGUAAACGGCGGCCGUAACUAUAACGGUCCUAAGGUAGCGAAAUUCCUUGUCGGGUAAGUUCCGACCUGCACGAAUGGCAUAAUGAUGGCGGCGCUGUCUCCAGCAGAGGCUCAGUGAAAUCGAAAUCGCUGUGAAGAUGCAGUGUACCCGCGGCUAGACGGAAAGACCCCGUGAACCUUUACUGCAGCUUGACACUGAACUUUGACCUUACUUGUGUAGGAUAGGUGGGAGGCUUUGAAGCUGGAACGCUAGUUCCAGUGGAGCCGUCCUUGAAAUACCACCCUGGUAAUGUUGAGGUUCUAACUCUGUCCCGUGAUCCGGGACGAGGACCGUGUCUGGUGGGUAGUUUGACUGGGGCGGUCUCCUCCUAAAGAGUAACGGAGGAGUACGAAGGUGCGCUCAGCGUGGUCGGAAAUCACGCGUAGAGUAUAAAGGCAAAAGCGCGCUUAACUGCGAGACCCACAAGUCGAGCAGGUACGAAAGUAGGUCUUAGUGAUCCGGUGGUUCUGUAUGGAAGGGCCAUCGCUCAACGGAUAAAAGGUACUCUGGGGAUAACAGGCUGAUACCGCCCAAGAGUUCAUAUCGACGGCGGUGUUUGGCACCUCGAUGUCGGCUCAUCUCAUCCUGGGGCUGAAGCAGGUCCCAAGGGUAUGGCUGUUCGCCAUUUAAAGAGGUACGCGAGCUGGGUUUAGAACGUCGUGAGACAGUUCGGUCCCUAUCUACCGUGGGCGCUGGAAAUUUGAGAGGAUCUGCUCCUAGUACGAGAGGACCAGAGUGGACGAACCUCUGGUGUACCGGUUGUGACGCCAGUCGCAUCGCCGGGUAGCUAUGUUCGGAAGGGAUAACCGCUGAAAGCAUCUAAGCGGGAAGCCUACCUCAAGAUAAGAUUUCCCUAGGACUUUAUGUCCUCUAAAGAGCCGUUCGAGACUAGGACGUUGAUAGGUUGGAUGUGGAAGCAUAGUGAUAUGUGAAGCUGACCAAUACUAAUUGCUCGUGAGGCUUGACUAU